GCUCAGUAACACGUGUAUAACCUGGCCUUGGUAUCUGGCAUAACCCCGGGAAACUGGGGAUAAUUCCGGAUAACGCAUAUAUGCUGGAAUGCUUUAUGCGUAAAAUGGAUUCGUCCGCCCAAGGAUGGGUCUGCGGCCUAUCAGGUAGUAGUGGGUGUAAUGUACCUACUAGCCUACAACGGGUACGGGUUGUGAGAGCAAGAGCCCGGAGAUGGAUUCUGAGACAUGAAUCCAGGCCCUACGGGGCGCAGCAGGCGCGAAAACUUUACAAUGCGGGAAACCGUGAUAAGGGGACACCGAGUGCUAGCAUCAUAUGCUGGCUGUCCAGGUGUGUAAACUACACCUGUUAGCAAGGGCCGGGCAAGACCGGUGCCAGCCGCCGCGGUAACACCGGCGGCCCGAGUGGUGAUCGUGAUUAUUGGGUCUAAAGGGUCCGUAGCCGGUUUGGUCAGUCCUCCGGGAAAUCUGAUAGCUCAACUAUUAGGCUUUCGGGGGAUACUGCCAGACUUGGAACCGGGAGAGGUAAGAGGUACUACAGGGGUAGGAGUGAAAUCUUGUAAUCCCUGUGGGACCACCUGUGGCGAAGGCGUCUUACCAGAACGGGUUCGACGGUGAGGGACGAAAGCUGGGGGCACGAACCGGAUUAGAUACCCGGGUAGUCCCAGCCGUAAACGAUGCUCGCUAGGUGUCAGGCAUGGCGCGACCGUGUCUGGUGCCGCAGGAAGCCGUGAAGCGAGCCACCUGGGAAGUACGGCCGCAAGG
This 762-nucleotide ribosomal RNA is filed under the name uncultured methanogenic archaeon. RNAcentral's name for it is "bacterial SSU rRNA". It matches the Rfam family "Archaeal small subunit ribosomal RNA", at positions 88 to 848 of the family's 1478-position model. Lineage: Archaea; Methanobacteriati; Methanobacteriota. The record is from RNAcentral.